UACAGAGGGGGCAAGCGUUGUUCGGAAUUACUGGGCGUAAAGGGCGCGUAGGCGGCCUGUUAAGUCGAACGUGAAAUCCCCGGGCUCAACCCGGGAACUGCGUCCGAUACUGGCAGGCUUGAAUCCGGGAGAGGGAUGCGGAAUUCCAGGUGUAGCGGUGAAAUGCGUAGAGAUGCGGAGGAACACCGAUGGCGAAGGCAGCCCCCUGGGCCAACACUGACGCUCAGGCACGAAAGCGUGGGGAGCAAACAGG
Molecule: ribosomal RNA, 253 nt
Filed under: uncultured bacterium
Lineage: Bacteria
Description: partial 16S ribosomal RNA
Rfam family: Bacterial small subunit ribosomal RNA
Source: RNAcentral